GACGAACGCUGGCGGCGUGCCUAAUACAUGCAAGUAGAACGCACAGUUUAUACCGUAGCUUGCUACACCAUAGACUGUGAGUUGCGAACGGGUGAGUAACGCGUAGGUAACCUGCCUGGUAGCGGGGGAUAACUAUUGGAAACGAUAGCUAAUACCGCAUAAUAUUGAUUAUUGCAUGAUAAUUGAUUGAAAGAUGCUAUUGCAUCACUACCAGAUGGACCUGCGUUGUAUUAGCUAGUAGGUGAGGUAACGGCUCACCUAGGCGAUGAUACAUAGCCGACCUGAGAGGGUGAUCGGCCACACUGGGACUGAGACACGGCCCAGACUCCUACGGGAGGCAGCAGUAGGGAAUCUUCGGGAAUGGACGAAAGUCUGACCGAGCAACGCCGCGUGAGUGAAGAAGGUUUUCGGAUCGUAAAGCUCUGUUGUAAGAGAAGAACGGGUGUGAGAGUGGAAAGUUCACACUGUGACGGUAUCUUACCAGAAAGGGACGGCUAACUACGUG
RNAcentral lists this ribosomal RNA (505 nucleotides) under uncultured bacterium. RNAcentral describes it as "partial 16S ribosomal RNA". It matches the Rfam family "Bacterial small subunit ribosomal RNA", at positions 28 to 507 of the family's 1533-position model. The record is from RNAcentral.